GGCUCAGGAUGAACGCUAGCUACAGGCUUAACACAUGCAAGUCGUGGGGCAGCAUGACUGAAGCUUGCUUCAGUUGAUGGCGACCGGCGCACGGGUGAGUAACGCGUAUCCAACCUUCCCAUGACAGGGGAAUAACCUUGCGAAAGUAAGACUAAUGCCCCAUGGUCUCCGACGACGGCAUCAGACUCGGAGUAAAGGCGUGAGCCGGUGAUGGAUGGGGAUGCGUCCGAUUAGCUUGACGGCGGGGUAACGGCCCACCGUGGCACCGAUCGGUAGGGGUUCUGAGAGGAAGGUCCCCCACAUUGGAACUGAGACACGGUCCAAACUCCUACGGGAGGCAGCAGUGAGGAAUAUUGGUCAAUGGGCGCAAGCCUGAACCAGCCAAGUAGCGUGAGGGACGACGGCCCUAUGGGUCGUAAACCUCUUUUAUGCGGGGAUAACCGGUGCCACGCGUGGCGCCCUGCAGGUACCGCAUGAAUAAGGACCGGCUAAUUCCGUGCCAGCAGCCGCGGUAAUACGGAAGGUCCGGGCGUUAUCCGGAUUCAUUGGGUUUAAAGGGAGCGUAGGCCGCCUCUUAAGCGUGUUGUGAAAUGUAGGGGCUCAACCCCUGCACUGCAGCGCGAACUGGAGGGCUUGAGUACACGCAAGGCAGGCGGAAUUCGUGGUGUAGCGGUGAAAUGCUUAGAUAUCACGAAGAACCCCGAUUGCGAAGGCAGCUUGCCGGAGUGUAACUGACGCUGAAGCUCGAAAGCGCGGGUAUCGAACAGGAUUAGAUACCCUGGUAGUCCGCGCGGUAAACGAUGGAUGCCCGCUGUGUGCCAAUCUGAUAUGCGGCCAAGCGAAAGCGUUAAGCAUCCCACCUGGGGAGUACGCCGGCAACGGUGAAACUCAAAGGAAUUGACGGGGGCCCGCACAAGCGGAGGAACAUGUGGUUUAAUUCGAUGAUACGCGAGGAACCUUACCCGGGCUUGAAUUGCAGCGGAAGGAAGCAGAGAUGCUGACGCCCUCCGGGGCCGCUGUGAAGGUGCUGCAUGGUUGUCGUCAGCUCGUGCCGUGAGGUGUCGGCUUAAGUGCCAUAACGAGCGCAACCCCUCUCCGUAGUUGCCUUCGGGUGAUGCCGGGCACUCUGCGGACACUGCCACCGUAAGGUGCGAGGAAGGUGGGGA
This 1166-nucleotide ribosomal RNA is filed under the name uncultured bacterium. RNAcentral describes it as "bacterial SSU rRNA". It matches the Rfam family "Bacterial small subunit ribosomal RNA", at positions 21 to 1179 of the family's 1533-position model. The record is from RNAcentral.